AGUAGUUUGAUCCUGGCUCAGGACAACGCUGGCGGCGUGCCUCAUACAUGCAAGUCGAACGAGAAGCAAGAGCUUGCUCUUGUGGAAAGUGGCGGACGGGUGAGUAAUGUGUAGGAAAUCUGCCCUAGAGUGGGGGACAACAGAGGGAAACUUCUGCUAAUACCCCAUAUGAGCGUACUUGAAAUAGUAUUCUUGAAAACUCCGGUGCUCUAGGAUGAGCCUGCAUCUGAUUAGCUUGUUGGCGGUGUAAUUGACCACCAAGGCGACGAUCAGUAGCUGGUUUGAGAGGAUGAUCAGCCACAAUGGGACUGAGACACGGCCCAUACUCC
RNAcentral lists this ribosomal RNA (329 nucleotides) under uncultured cyanobacterium. RNAcentral describes it as "bacterial SSU rRNA". It matches the Rfam family "Bacterial small subunit ribosomal RNA", at positions 1 to 339 of the family's 1533-position model. The record is from RNAcentral. Lineage: Bacteria; Bacillati; Cyanobacteriota.